UACAGACCAAGUUGUUAAGAGCUAUUGGCGGAUGCCUUGGCAUUGACAGGCGAUGAAGGAUGCGUUUACCUGCAGUAAUCUUCGGUGAGCUGGUAUAGAGCUAUGACCCGGAGGUAUCCGAAUGGGGCAACCCGAUAGACUAAUAGUCCAUCAUUAUAUGUUGAAUACAUAGGCAUAUAAGGCGACACCCGCUGAACUGAAACAUCUUAGUAAGCGGAGGAAAAGAAAUCAAAGAGAUUCCCUGUGUAGCGGCGAGCGAAAGGGGAACAGCCUAAACCAUAUUUUUAAUAUGGGGUUGUAGGGUCGAUAACAUGGGAUCUUAAGUUUUAGUUGAAUACUUCUGGAAAGUUGAACGAUACAGGGUGAUAGUCCCGUUAACGAAAAAACAAAAGACGCUAAUCGAUACCUGAGUAGGGCUAGACACGUGAAACCUAGUCUGAAUCUGGGGAGACCACUCUCCAAGGCUAAAUACUAGUCAAUGACCUAUAGUGAACCAGUACUGUGAAGGAAAGGUGAAAAGAACCCUUGUUAAGGGAGCGAAAUAGAACCUGAAACCAGUAGCUUAUAAGCGGUCGGAGACCUAUAACUCUUCGGAGUAAUGGUUGACGGCGUGCCUUUU
This 619-nucleotide ribosomal RNA is filed under the name Chlamydia pneumoniae. Its description in RNAcentral is "partial Domain I of the 23S ribosomal RNA". It matches the Rfam family "Bacterial large subunit ribosomal RNA", at positions 1 to 609 of the family's 2925-position model. Lineage: Bacteria; Pseudomonadati; Chlamydiota; Chlamydiia; Chlamydiales; Chlamydiaceae. The record is from RNAcentral.